GACGAACGCUGGCGGCGUGCUUAACACAUGCAAGUCGAACGGAAAGGCUCCAGCUUGCUGGAGUACUCGAGUGGCGAACGGGUGAGUAACACGUGGGUGAUCUGCCCUGCACUUCGGGAUAAGCCUGGGAAACUGGGUCUAAUACCGGAUAGGACCGCACUUUGGUGUGUGUGGUGGAAAGGUUUUUCUGGUGUGGGAUGAGCUCGCGGCCUAUCAGUUUGUUGGUGGGGUAAUGGCCUACCAAGACGGCGACGGGUAGCCGGCCUGAGAGGGUGGACGGUCACAGUGGGACUGAGAGACGGCCCAGACGCCGACGGGAGGAAGCAGUGGGGAAGAUUGCACAAGGGGGGAAACCCGGAUGCAGCGACGCCGCGGGGGGGAUGAAGGCCUUAGGGUUGUAAAAUCCGUUCGCUAGGGACGAAGCUUUUUGUGACGGUACCUGGAGAAGAAGCACCGGCUAACUACGUG
Molecule: ribosomal RNA, 468 nt
Filed under: uncultured bacterium
Lineage: Bacteria
Description: partial 16S ribosomal RNA
Rfam family: Bacterial small subunit ribosomal RNA
Source: RNAcentral